GACAGAGGGUGCAAACGUUGUUCGGAAUCACUGGGCAUAAAGCGCACGUAGGCGGUCCGUUAAGUCAGAUGUGAAAGCCCCCGGCUCAACCGGGGAAUUGCAUCUGAUACUGGCAGGCUCGAGGAUGGCAGGGGUGAGCGGAACUCCAGGUGGAGCGGUGAAAUGCGUAGAUAUCUGGAGGAACACCGGUGGCGAAAGCGGCUCACUGGACCAUAUCUGACGCUGAUGUGCGAAAGCUAGGGUAGCAAACGGG
This 253-nucleotide ribosomal RNA is filed under the name uncultured bacterium. Its description in RNAcentral is "partial 16S ribosomal RNA". It matches the Rfam family "Bacterial small subunit ribosomal RNA", at positions 524 to 776 of the family's 1533-position model. The record is from RNAcentral.